This 622-nucleotide long non-coding RNA is filed under the name Equus caballus (horse). RNAcentral's name for it is "lncRNA (ENSECAG00000031169.3)". Lineage: Eukaryota; Metazoa; Chordata; Mammalia; Perissodactyla; Equidae. The record is from RNAcentral.
UCAUCAUGCUGCAUGUCCAUCAAAGGUCGUCUUCUCUCGAGGCAGUCUCUAACUGGAAUGUUGGCACCGGUUGCAUUUCAUUGGGUAAAGCUAUACAUUUGUCAGGUCUCCAGGACUUUGAUUAACAGUGGGAGUAACAGAGCAAUCACUGUCUUAGUAACAACUUCAAAGGGAAGAUGCAUCAAGUUGAGGAAGACAUUGAUACAGGCUUUCUUCAGAGUCCUUAUCAAAGAAUUGUUUUUAUCCAGUGAAAAAGCAAGAAUCUCUCUCCAGGCAACAGAAGAUGACAGAAUGUACAAAGUGGAAGGGAACUUACUGACGUUUUAGGGCAGUGGUUGAAGACCAGGAACGAUUUUACCCCAGGGACAUAUGGCACUGCCUGGAGACAUUUUUGAUUCUCACACCUGGGAAGGAGUAGGCUCCUGGCAUCCAGUGGGCAGAGGCCAGAGAUGCUGCUAAACGUCCUGCAAUGCACGGGACAGGCCCCGCAUCAAAGAAUUACGCAGCCCAAAAGCUCAAUAAUGCCAAGGUUGAGAAAACCUCUGAUUUUAUGUAAUCUAAAACAUAGGCUCAAAGAGAUUGCAAUUAGUGUCCAAGGUUGAACAAUUAUUAUGUGACAAAG